Non-coding RNA from Paramuricea clavata, 1213 nucleotides. The record is from the annotation of a GenBank genome assembly. NCBI's taxonomy places the organism in Eukaryota, Metazoa, Cnidaria, Anthozoa, Malacalcyonacea, Plexauridae.
AGCAUAACAUCCAGAUUCUGGAUGUUGAACAUGGCUUUAGAGGCGAAUUGUGUCAGGCCCUCUUUCAAUAUCGAGGGCCUGAUACUCAGGUUAGACUUGGACUAAGUCUAAAUGACUUGUGACCUGAUGUGGACUUGCAAAAUAUUACGGAAAUCACAGAACUGUGGAAUCCAUAAAAAAUUCGUAUCGCCGCCACUCCCACGAACGUCUACGACAGCAUGUGCAUAUUUUUGCAUGUUUAAUACAAUUCUAAUUUUAAACAGCCAAUUACGAUUAAACGUCGAUUGGCUGUUUAAAAUUAGAAUUGUGAACGUGGCAAAAAUAUUCGUAGACGUUUGUGGGAGUGGUGGCGAUACGAAUUUUUUAUGCGUUUCCACAGUUCGGUGAGUUUCGUAAUAAGACUUGUUAACAACUAAAAUUACAAUCAUUUCAAGGGCUGCAUUUGAAAUAUUGCUUGUGAGUAAACGAUUACUUUUUUAGAUCUUGUGGAAAACUUUGAUGAACCAUCCAAGAAUGAAACAGUGUAAAAGCAGCAAUACAACAUCAGCAAUGUCGAAGUAUGAAUCAUUCCCUAGGAAACGACUCGCAUGCAACAGAACAUUGACAAAUAGAAAAGGCGCAACUAUACGGCAAUUAGAACAAUAUAAGCUACGCAUCAUUAUUUUAUAUUUCGUUUUAUUUUCAUUACCAGUUUGGAGAGUACUGCUAAAAUUGUAGUUCGAAUAAUAAAACAUGUAAACAUGAAUUACAACUUGUUUUAGGAAUAAAGUUUUUGACCGUGAUUCUUGCAGUAUGCGUUUUGCUUUUUUCGAGUGAUGUACGUUUUCGCCAAUUUCACAAGCAAUUUUCGCCAAUUUCACAAGCAGUAUGCUGUACUGUAAACUUCUUGAACUGUCUUAGCCAGUGUAGGUAGUGCCAAUAAAGUCAUGAACACAUACCUAAUUUUAAGAAUUUUUUAUCACUGCAUAUUUUAUGCCAAAAAUUUCCGAAUGACUAAGAAAAUUUCCGAAUAUUCGGAAAUUUUUGGCGACCCCCCCCCCGUCGCCAAAAAAUUUGGUCAGUGUACCAUUUUAAGGGUCAAAAAUUUUUUCCGGACAUACCAAAAGACAGAUAUUAACUAAAAAUUGCCUGAAUCUCAUGAUUUUCGUACAAAAAACAUAUACUAUUAUUUAAUUCGAUAAUUUGGCAGUCAUCAUUUCAAUUUCAAUUAAAU